GGCUGAACCAGCAGCAAUACAGGCUGAACCAGCAGCAACACAGGCAACAUAUGCUGUUAUCACAAAACCCAUGAGCAAUACAGUGUAUCAACAGGCUGAACCAGCAGCAACACAGGCUGAACGAGCAGCAACACAGGCAACAUAUGCUGUUAUCACAAGACCCAUGAAGAAUACAGGCUCAGGAUUCUCCAGCUGGUCAGCAACACAAGUUCCCACAGCAGCUACCAACCCAAAAGAGGAUUGCUACGAUCAGAUACUCAAUUAGGAAAGAAUGAGAGUAAUAAUUGUUUCCAGCAUCUCUUUGCUCUAUGUUAAUAUGCCAUUUUGUCUUCCUCU
Scomber japonicus (chub mackerel) is the source of this 336-nucleotide long non-coding RNA. RefSeq lists it as uncharacterized. The transcript is spliced from 3 exons. NCBI's taxonomy places the organism in Eukaryota, Metazoa, Chordata, Actinopteri, Scombriformes, Scombridae. The record is from RefSeq and is a predicted model, not a curated record.